GGGAGACACUGCCAGCCGCCGUCAGGACAAGCAGCAUGUGAAGAUGCCGACAUCAACAGCAAUGGUGUCCUAGCUGAGCAAGAGCUGGAAGCUCUCUUCACCAAGGAGAUGAUGCUCCUGUCCCAGCUCCAGCAGGUGACCAGAAAGAUGUGGCUGCUUCUGAAAAGAAGGCCCCAGAACAACCCCUGAGCUGCCCCAGCUGGACUCCCAGCACUUACAAUCUCUCAGUGACCGCCCCCCCCCCACGCCUCCAAGUUCCUACAGACAGCUGGAUGAAGUGUCCUUGCGGCCUCUCUGGAGGCCUGAGCCUGCAUGGCCUCCUGGGGAGGAGGACGGGGCUCCCUGUUCCUUAGAGGCGCCUGUGUCUGCCCCCUCAGCUCUCCCAGCCUCCAGGUCCCGGCCCUUCCUCUGUCUCCUGGCUUCUUUACUCUGUCAGGGACUCACUGCAGGAGCUGGAGCUGAGAGAGACCCUCACGUACCUGGAGUACAUGCUCCAGGCAUGCCUUCCUGGUUUGCUCUUGGCUGUUCCAGGCUUAGCCACUUUGCAUCCUGUGCCUAGUGUCACAGGGUCCCAGGAGCUUGGCUUGGUCCCUUUUACUCUGUCUUCUGUGGGGCCAGAGAUCUCAGUUCCUUUCAGUGGCUGGAGGCUUGGGACAUGGGGUGUCCUUCAAGUAACUGUCAGCUCUGCCUGGGCCCCUGGCUUCCAUCGCCACCUCACCAGCCGUACCCUGACCUCCUGGGCCCAACCCAUGCCCCCAGAAGGUACCCAGGUACGGCUGCACACCUAGCUGAGAUUCAACCGCCCUCAGCCCCCAUUGGGCGCUCCUGAAAAUUGGUACACCCUGGCUUCAUGCCACACUACGAUAUCCUGCUCUAUGCUCCAGUUCCAUUCAAAUAUAGCCUGGCACAAAUAAACAUUAGCGUGUCUGUGUGUA
Peromyscus maniculatus bairdii (prairie deer mouse) is the source of this 935-nucleotide non-coding RNA. The record is from RefSeq and is a predicted model, not a curated record. NCBI's taxonomy places the organism in Eukaryota, Metazoa, Chordata, Mammalia, Rodentia, Cricetidae.